This 42-nucleotide ribosomal RNA is filed under the name Verticillium dahliae. RNAcentral's name for it is "partial 28S ribosomal RNA". The record is from RNAcentral. Lineage: Eukaryota; Fungi; Ascomycota; Sordariomycetes; Glomerellales; Plectosphaerellaceae.
ACGGUUGACCUCGGAUCAGGUAGGAAUACCCGCUGAACUUAA